CUUUAUGGCGGGCCGGACGAGACAGCCGCAAGGCUGACCGGCAUUGGCUGUGACACCGGGCUUCCACCCUCGUCGUCAGGCCCGCCGCCCUC
This 92-nucleotide non-coding RNA is filed under the name Cupriavidus oxalaticus. Lineage: Bacteria; Pseudomonadati; Pseudomonadota; Betaproteobacteria; Burkholderiales; Burkholderiaceae. The record is from RNAcentral.